This 432-nucleotide long non-coding RNA is filed under the name Hordeum vulgare. Its description in RNAcentral is "long non-coding RNA (HVUL_LNC016248)". Lineage: Eukaryota; Viridiplantae; Streptophyta; Magnoliopsida; Poales; Poaceae. The record is from RNAcentral.
UAUUAUAUUAUAUACAUAAUACGGAAGGCAAACAAGGCAUCAUGUUCGUCCACGUAUGUUAAUAUUAUUUGCACAGUCCGAUCACAAUAAUAAUAGCUGGGAUUUUUUUUGUAGCAUCUUAAUGUGUAGGUCCAACAUACCGGACUAUCACGUUGUCAAACAUGCAGAUAUGCCAUGUAAUUGGAUUAGGCACGCAUUAGCAAGCCUCAUGAUAGAAAAAGUCUAGCAAAAUAAUGUCCACAUACAUGCACACAUAUGGUGGUAAUUUUUCUCGAUCAGAGAUAGUAUGAAUAGAGAGUUGUCCCGUUCGUCGGUACAUAUAGCCAUUUUUUAGGAGGGUAUUGAUGCUUCUGGUCUGCGUUGGGCUUUCCGUGAAGAGAAACGGAUUAUCGCAGCACAAUGUGGAUAAAAAUUUCCCUCAAUUAUGAAACC